GUCACAUUCUUCCACAAUGGCAACUAGGAAAGUACCUUUUUGAUCGUAAGGUAGCAAGCUUAUUCGACUUUUAAGCAUAUAGCAUCUGCGAGGAGAUGGCAGCAGACCAUGAAAUUGCAACAACUACGUUGCAUAACCAGAAUAACCUACCAUCAAUUUAGGUCCAGUAGCAACAUACCAAAAAUCGAAAAUGACAGAGGCAGCAAAAUGAAGGAAUAUCUACUUAAUAAUUCUAUCGCGAAAUCUAUAUUCCUUCAUCAAUAUAACUUGCGAUUGUCUCAGCAUGGGAAACAUGUUUUUCUCAGUUAAGUUUGUACUACGGCUGGAAGCAAGCAACACAUCCACAGCAAACCGUUUCUCCAGGUGCCUUUCCCAACAGUAGUAGGACGUGUACGACACUCAUCACUGACUGGCACCACGAGCU
RNAcentral lists this unclassified non-coding RNA (424 nucleotides) under Hevea brasiliensis (rubber tree). Lineage: Eukaryota; Viridiplantae; Streptophyta; Magnoliopsida; Malpighiales; Euphorbiaceae. The record is from RNAcentral.